Molecule: non-coding RNA, 66 nt
Organism: Eimeria brunetti
Lineage: Eukaryota; Apicomplexa; Conoidasida; Eucoccidiorida; Eimeriidae
Source: Rfam
UGCAGCGCGAAUGAAGGGGGCCCCCCAAACCCUCUUAGGGCGGGGGCCCCCCGAUAUGCUGCUGCA